GACGAACGCUGGCGGCGUGCUUAACACAUGCAAGUCGAACGGAAAGGCCCUGCUUGCAGGGUACUCGAGUGGCGAACGGGUGAGUAACACGUGGGUGAUCUGCCCUGCACUUCGGGAUAAGCCUGGGAAACUGGGUCUAAUACCGGAUAGGAGCCAUUUUUAGUGUGAUGGUUGGAAAGUUUUUUCGGUGUAGGAUGAGCUCGCGGCCUAUCAGCUUGUUGGUGGGGUAAUGGCCUACCAAGGCGGCGACGGGUAGCCGGCCUGAGAGGGUGGACGGCCACAUUGGGCCUGAGAUACGGCCCAGACUCCUACGGGGGGCAGCAGUGGGGAAUAUUGCACAAUGGGCGCAAGCCUGAUGCAGCGACGCCGCGUGGGGGAUGACGGCCUUCGGGUUGUAAACUCCUUUCGCUAGGGACGAAGCUUUUUGUGACGGUACCUAGAUAAGAAGCACCGGCUAACUACGUG
This 465-nucleotide ribosomal RNA is filed under the name uncultured bacterium. RNAcentral describes it as "partial 16S ribosomal RNA". It matches the Rfam family "Bacterial small subunit ribosomal RNA", at positions 28 to 507 of the family's 1533-position model. The record is from RNAcentral.